UACGGGGGGGGCAAGCGUUGUUCGGAAUUACUGGGCGUAAAGGGCUCGUAGGCGGCCAACUAAGUCGGACGUGAAAUCCCUCGGCUUAACCGGGGAACUGCGUCCGAUACUGGAUGGCUUGAAUUCGGGAGAGGGAUGCAGAAUUCCAGGUGUAGCGGUGAAAUGCGUAGAUAUCUGGAGGAAUACCGGUGGCGAAGGCGGCAUCCUGGACCGACAUUGACGCUGAGGAGCGAAAGCUAGGGGAGCAAACGGG
Molecule: ribosomal RNA, 253 nt
Filed under: uncultured bacterium
Lineage: Bacteria
Description: partial 16S ribosomal RNA
Rfam family: Bacterial small subunit ribosomal RNA
Source: RNAcentral